UUUAUUUCACUUUUUUUUUCUAACUUUACCAAUUUCAUCUGAGCCCUAGUCUCUCUUUAGCGUCCCUAAUUAUCUCCAUCUCUAUUCUCGGUCUCAACUCUGAACUUACCCCCCCUCCUCUCUCUCUCUGCAACUCCCCAAUCGCCUCUAUCUAUAUCUCUGUAACUCCCCAAUCGCCUCCAUCUCUAUUCUCGGUCUCAACUCUGAACUUGCGCCCCCCCUCUCUCUCUGUAACUCCUCAAUCGUGAUAACACGUGCCCCUCCUCCUCAACCACCCCUCUCUCAGCAACUCUGCCUCCAAUCUCUCUGUCACUUCCCUCACUUUCUCUCUCUACGUACCUAUACCAUACCAGUCUUGAUUGAUCAGAAUGGUGAAGCUUGCAUCGGCCCGACAGAGUCGAAUAUACGGACCCCAGCUGGCUCGAGACCGGUCCAAGUACAUGAACGCCGGCCUAUAUGUGUUCGCCACCAUUGUUCUUCUCUGUGGCUCGGGUUUGGUUCUUCUACUCAUAGGCUUAGCUCUCAUAAUCUUUGUGAACGUUCACGAUCUCCUUGCUCAUCUCGCUGGCAUCGAUUACCGGUUGCCGUUGAUGGAAUUCGACGUCCAGCUUGGCCUCGUCGAGUUCGCCGUCCCAAUGGUUCAGAUUACAACUACACUUCUCUAUUUCUUAGGGAUUCUUUUUUUUUUUUCAUUCAGGUAUCCGCUGGGGUUUCUCUAUCCAAUCUCUCGCCUGAUCAGCUAUUCUGUGUUCGAGAAGGUUUGGAGUAGAAAAUAAAAGAGGGUCUGUACAUGAUGGGUCUAAAAGAUGAGAUAUUCUAUUUUUCUUGGUUUAUUACAUACGCUUUGCAGGUAAUUUUUGCAUUCUUGCUGUUAAAAUGAGUUAGUAGUAGCAUACCUUUUUUUGUAUGACCAAUGUUUAAGGUGGAGUGUUUUUUUUUUUUUUUUUUUUUUUUUUUUUUUUUUUUUUUCUGUAAUUCUGUUUUUGUUUUCUGUUAUUCUAAUUUUCAGUUUGGUUUAUGGAUAAGGAAUGUUAUAUAACUUUUUGGGUUUUCUGAACUGUUAUAUUGCCAUAGAAGUAAGGCAUCUUCUGCAAAUACUUACACUUGAAGUUGCUCUGCUAGGAAGGGCAUAAAGCCUGUUUUACAUGUCCUAAGUUGAUGAGGACCUGGUUUUGGACAUGUUUAUAGGACUUUUUUACUUUCUUGGCCUUGGUAUGGGUGGUGGACUUAUACGUAAUGUUACGGAGGGAUCUAGGUUGAUAAGUGUGUCGAUGUCAAGAUAAUUUGGCGUGGACAUGCUCCUCUUAGACUAGUAGACCUGGAUUAUGAAGAAUAUUCUGUCCAAUUUGUCUUUUUGGGGUGGACUGGAUUGUUCAGCUGGCUUGGACAAGAUUGUGGUCACUAGAUGUGCUGAUGACACUGUAAUAUGAUGCCACAAUAAAUAUAUAUGGAAAGUUUGAACUGAACAUAUUACUAUUGGAAUUAUAUAGAAAUAAUUUUGUUCAUAACAUGAUUUCAAAUUUCAAAGGUUGAUCCUAAAACUAAUUGGAAGUGAUUAGUAUUUGAAUUUUAUUUGAGUGAUUACAUUGAUUUCGCAUUCAUUGAGUGUCAGAUCAAUUACGUGAAGCUUGUAGUAGUAGUUGACAGAAGGAUUUAGGUGUUAAGACUCAUCUUAAAUUUCUAAACUUCCCAUAGGAGAUUGUCGCAUUAUCAUGGAGCUGGAGUAUAAUAAGGCUACAAAUGAAAAAAUCUGAUUAUGAAUAGUUCGAUUAAUCAGGUUUGGCUAAGCUAACAGGAUCAUUCAAGUUCGUCGUAAAACAAUAUUGUAUUGCGCAAUUGGCCUUUACCUAGAUAAGGUAUGUCAUUCAAACUUUUUGUUUUUCUUUGAAGGUUGUCGACUGACCAUGAAUUGCUGUUUACUUUUUAAUUGAGUAUCCGAUUGUCUAAGUUACGUGCAUAAUAGAUCUACUCUAUAUUGUAUUCACUAAGUUGAUAAGUCUCUUAGUGAGCAUUCAUUUUUUUGGUCAAAUAUACUUUCAUUGAAAUCAUUUUGAAUUGUCCAAUGACAAGAUUUUCUGUGUGGACAUUUAACAUCCAUUAUAGGCAAUCAACUACUAAUAACUUACUAAUUGACAUUAUUUUAUCCUAUGCUUUUCUUAAAAUCACUUAAGAUUUUAUUUACUUUUGUAUGUAGUUUUCUAUUUUGACAGUUCUUUGUAUAUGAUAGAAAGUUACUAGAAAUUUUUCUAUGACUAGGUCUUCUCUAAAGAGAAUGGAGUGCAGCACAAAUGGAACUUCAUAUUUCAAAAGUGGUUUUGGAGAAAAAAAAUUUAGUGGAAAAAAGGAUGCUUCCGGCUCAGAAGUCAAAAUAAAUCAUAAGCAUUCCAAUGAAGAUGUGUCCACACCCCUUUUCUCAACCCGCAUUAUGUGCAUUUUCCUUGUUUCUGUUUCUGUUUCUUACCUUUCUUGUUCUUACAUUAAGUUAGUUGGUUGCUCCUGCUUGAUUAAUUGUUAAGCUAAAGAUGUGAAUGCAGACCUCUAACUUCUCAUCACAGUGAUGCAUUAGCUACGCAAGCAUAGCACUGAUUGUCUAUAAGGUAGCAGUAGUGUUGGACAUUUGUCAUGAAGCUCUCCAUUAUUGAUAUGAGUAGUUGAGUACUCUGGUUUUUGGUCCAUGUUAAAAUGACUCUGGUUCUUCUUGUAUGGUAAAUUUGUUACAUUUCAACUAUAAAUCUAUCCAGCAUUAUUUGAUCAAUAUGUUAAGGCAUAUUUGGCUAGAUCAUGCUUUUCUUCCCUUUUUAUUGGUUGAUUCAAAUUCCUUUCUCAUCUUUCUUCUUAUUUCUUCUGACAAGUGGAGGUUUCAAAAUGGUUUAUAUGGAUUGUCCCCAUUUCUAUGGCAUUCAUUUGUACUCAUUAUAGCAAUUGCAGAAUGCAUAAGCUAAUCUUAUUGGUGUUGGUUUUGAUGGUCGCGUCAUAUUAUAGUCGAAUUCAUUUAUCUAUCUCUCUUUUUUUAAUGCUUGAUAUCUUGUUUAGACGGACUCUUUUUCGAUUUUGUAAUUAUUGUUAUUUCUUCAGGAUGAGACAAGAAAAGGAUUGGGGGUGUGCCCUCAGAAUGAUAUUCUUUUUCCGGAGUUAAUUGGUAAUUCAAAUCAAAUGGGCAAGAAGAGUUGUUGAAGUUGAAGCUGAAGAUGGGGUUGUGGCUGUGCUUUCUGCAUUUCCUUCACCUUGGAUGGGUUCUUUUUGAAAAACUUGUACUAUAUUUGGCAAAAAUUCUUAAUUCUUUUUGUGUGACAUUUAGUAGAUCUAGACAAUUUGGAUGGUAUUUUCAUAUUGGCAGGUUAACUUAUGGUUGUAUUAGUAGACAUUUUGGCUUUUUGGUUGACAUUUUUUUGGUUUUGGUUGACAUUUACCAGCUUUAUCUAUCAGUAGACAAUUUCGAUGGUA
This is an RNA transcript of Cornus florida, 3444 nucleotides long. RefSeq lists it as uncharacterized. The record is from RefSeq and is a predicted model, not a curated record. The transcript has 4 exons. NCBI's taxonomy places the organism in Eukaryota, Viridiplantae, Streptophyta, Magnoliopsida, Cornales, Cornaceae.